RNAcentral lists this small nucleolar RNA (96 nucleotides) under Phaseolus vulgaris (common bean). RNAcentral describes it as "Small nucleolar RNA Z43". It matches the Rfam family "Small nucleolar RNA Z43". From Rfam's summary of the family: Z43 is a member of the C/D class of snoRNA which contain the C (UGAUGA) and D (CUGA) box motifs. The record is from Rfam by way of RNAcentral. Lineage: Eukaryota; Viridiplantae; Streptophyta; Magnoliopsida; Fabales; Fabaceae.
GGACUGUGAUCAUUUCUGUGAUAAGGCUUCCUUCGUCGAAAUUGGCCAAAUCGUUCGUCGACGAUUCUGCUAUAUCACCACCCAGGUUCUCUUUUC